AGUAACGGCGAGUGAAGCGGCAACAGCUCAAAUUUGAAAUCUGGCUCUUUUAGAGUCCGAGUUGUAAUUUGCAGAGGGCGCUUUGGCUUUGGCAGCGGUCCAAGUUCCUUGGAACAGGACGUCACAGAGGGUGAGAAUCCCGUACGUGGUCGCUGGCUAUUGCCGUGUAAAGCCCCUUCGACGAGUCGAGUUGUUUGGGAAUGCAGCUCUAAAUGGGAGGUACAUUUCUUCUAAAGCUAAAUAUUGGCCAGAGACCGAUAGCGCACAAGUAGAGUGAUCGAAAGAUGAAAAGCACUUUGGAAAGAGAGUCAAACAGCACGUGAAAUUGUUGAAAGGGAAGCGCUUGCAGCCAGACUUGCUUACAGUUGCUCAUCCGGGUUUCUACCCGGUGCACUCUUCUGUAGGCAGGCCAGCAUCAGUUUGGGCGGUAGGAUAAAGGUCUCUGUCACGUACCUCCUUUCGGGGAGGCCUUAUAGGGGAGACGACAUACUACCAGCCUGGACUGAGGUCCGCGCAUCUGCUAGGAUGCUGGCGUAAUGGCUGUAAGCGGCCCGUCUUGAAACACGGACCAAGGAGUCUAACAUCUAUGCGAGUGUUUGGGUGUCAAGCCCGAGCGCGUAAUGAAAGUGAACGGAGGUGGGAACCCGCAAGGGUGCACCAUCGACCGAUCCUGAUGUCUUCGGAAGGAUUUGAGUAAGAGCAUGGCUGUUGGGACCCGAAAGAUGGUGAACUAUGCUUGAAUAGGGUGAAGCCAGAGGAAACUCUGGUGGAGGCUCGCAGCGGUUCUGACGUGC
This 794-nucleotide ribosomal RNA is filed under the name Alternaria sp. Its description in RNAcentral is "partial large subunit ribosomal RNA". It matches the Rfam family "Eukaryotic large subunit ribosomal RNA", at positions 82 to 894 of the family's 3401-position model. The record is from RNAcentral. Lineage: Eukaryota; Fungi; Ascomycota; Dothideomycetes; Pleosporales; Pleosporaceae.